UCAUUAAUUAAUAUGGGAAGCUUGGGCCUUUCUGAAGCCCCAAUGCUGGGUGGACCGCAAAACGCUCAAAAGCGGAAUUGUCCGGCCUGAGAUUCACUGAAUAUUUGUUACACAAUAUUAUUUCACGUCGAAGCAUUCUCCCUGAUGGUAGAUGACUGAGUAGUGUUUUCCGUAGGGAAGACAUAAGCUCAUAAUAACGAAUCCGACCAGGCCAGGGAUGGAGCAGUCGUAAGUUGAGUUAUUUACGCUUCAGGAAUUGGGUGUGGAGUGUAAUAAUAUCUGAGCGUAGCAAAUGGAUGUGAGUCGAGGGUCGGGUUUUUAUCA
Molecule: signal recognition particle RNA, 324 nt
Filed under: Promethearchaeota archaeon
Lineage: Archaea; Promethearchaeati; Promethearchaeota
Description: Candidatus Lokiarchaeota archaeon signal recognition particle sRNA
Rfam family: Archaeal signal recognition particle RNA
Source: RNAcentral